Molecule: long non-coding RNA, 1237 nt
Filed under: Homo sapiens (human)
Lineage: Eukaryota; Metazoa; Chordata; Mammalia; Primates; Hominidae
Description: HSALNT0027656
Source: RNAcentral
GAAACUUCCAGUGUGGACCACAGGAAGAAAAAUCAAAGUAAUCCACGCUCCCACAUUUCCCACAUCCUUCAAGUCACACUACACUGAGUAACGGUCUCCCGAUGCUUUGGCAAUACCCAUGUGUCUUUCUUUAACAACCAGAAAUUAUGAGGCCUGGACAGGAUGCAAAUUGUUCUCAGUCAGCCUGGGAAAUAGCUAAGGGAACAUGAGGCAGAUGAAAAUGAUCUGUUUUGUCUUUCCUACCUUGGCCUUUGGGAAGCAACGUCAGCUUCGAUAAACAUCAAAAAUAUAAGGAGCACAGAAAUCAAUAUGAUGACCGGAGACACAGCUGUUGGAGGAAAAAAGUUUAUGUCAAUUAAAAUCCUGAAUUUCUCUGAUCUGGAAAGAAAAACUGCUAUGAACUCUUUAGAUGCCAACACAAGUGCUGAAGAGGAUGUUACAUGAGAGAAAGAUGGAUUCAUAUGUGGAAAAGCCUUCUAAGGAUAAAGUCUACCAUAUACUGACUUACUUUUGGAGGUAACAAGGGUUGGUGAGAUCUCAGUAGUGUCCUUCUCACGAGGAGCCUUGACAUCCUUCAUGCCACACCACUUUAUCAGUAAACCCUCCAGGAUGGAACUAUUUACUGAAAUGCCAGUACUCCCCCUCAUUUUUUAAACUACAUGACCUGUUCAGUGCUGUCUGUUCUGGAAUGAAAGGCCAAUAUCCAAGUGUUCAGAAAGACCCGGGAGAUGGGACAAAGAGGAUGAAGCUGGGGCUGGAAGGCGACUCUGGGAACGGCUCAUAAAGAUGUCCCACAGAAUGACUGAGGCUUUGUUUCAUGAAUAGGUGUCUCCAUUCGGCCUUGAUGGCUAACCAGCCAACUGAACAAGUGUAAAGGGCCCAAGAAAGGCCCGUAAAACCCAUGACAUGAAAGAACAAUUUAGGAAAAUAACAACUAAGGUAAAAAUAUCAUUUUUAUUGCAUAAAUUGCAUGAGGAGUUGUGAAAUUAAAACCAUUUAUUUAUAAAAGUUAUUUCCUCAAAAAAUAAAUAAUAUUAGGUAUAUCUCCUAAUGCUAUCCCUCCCCCCUCCCCACCCCACAACAGGCCCCAGUGUGUGAUGUUCCCCUUCCUGUGUCCAUGUGUUCUCAUUGUUCAAUUCCCACCUAUGAGUGAGAACAUGCGGUGUUACACCUAAUGUUAAAUGACGAGUUAAUGGGUGCAGCACACCAACAUGGCACAUGUAUACAUAUGUAACAA